GACGAACGCUGGCGGCGUGCUUAACACAUGCAAGUCGAACGGAAAGGCCCUGCUUUUGUGGGGUGCUCGAGUGGCGAACGGGUGAGUAACACGUGAGUAACCUGCCCUUGACUUUGGGAUAACUUCAGGAAACUGGGGCUAAUACCGGCUAGGAGCUCCUGCUGCAUGGUGGGGGUUGGAAAGUUUCGGCGGUUGGGGAUGGACUCGCGGGUUAUCAGCUUGUUGGUGGGGUAGUUGCUUACCAAGGCUUUGACGGGUAGCCGGCCUGAGAGGGUGACCGGCCACAUUGGGACUGAAAAUCGGCCCAGGCUCCUACGGGAGGCAGCAGUGUGAAAUAUUGCACAAUGGUCGGAAGCCUGUUACAGCAACGCCGCGUGCGGGAUGACGGCCUUCGGGUGGUAAACCGCAUGCACCUGUGACGAAGCGGGAGUGACGGUAAUGGGUAAAAAAGCACCGGCUAACUACGUG
RNAcentral lists this ribosomal RNA (468 nucleotides) under uncultured bacterium. RNAcentral's name for it is "partial 16S ribosomal RNA". It matches the Rfam family "Bacterial small subunit ribosomal RNA", at positions 28 to 507 of the family's 1533-position model. The record is from RNAcentral.